AGAGCGAACGCUGGCGGCAGGCCUAACACAUGCAAGUCGAGCGGUAAGGCCCCUUCGGGGGUACACGAGCGGCGGACGGCUGAGUAACACGUAGGAACGUACCCCAAACUGAGGGAUAAGCACCAGAAAUGGUGUCUAAUACCGCAUGUGAUCUUCGGAUUAAAGCUUCGGCGGUUUGGGAACGGCCUGCGCAUGAUUAGCUUGUUGGUGAGGUAAUAGCUCACCAAGGCGACGAUCAUUAGCUGGUCUGAGAGGAUGAUCAGCCAGACUGGGACUGAGAACGGCCCAGACUCCUACGGGAGGCAGCAGUAGGGAAUUUUCCACAAUGGGCGAAAGCCUGAUGGAGCAACGCCGCGUGCAGGACGAAGGCCUUCGGGUUGUAAACUGCUUUUAUAUGUGACGAUUAUGACGGUAGCAUAUGAAUAAGGAUCGGCUAACUCCGUGCCAGCAGCCGC
Molecule: ribosomal RNA, 455 nt
Filed under: uncultured bacterium
Lineage: Bacteria
Description: SSU rRNA
Rfam family: Bacterial small subunit ribosomal RNA
Source: RNAcentral